ACGAACGCUGGCGGCGUGCUUAACACAUGCAAGUCGAGCGGUAAGGCCCUUUCGGGGGUACACGAGCGGCGAACGGGUGAGUAACACGUGGGUGACCUGCCCUCAGCUCUGGGAUAAGCCUGGGAAACCCGGUCUAAUACUGGAUAUGACUCCAUGACGCAUGUUGUGGGGUGGAAAGCCUUGUGCGGCUGAGGAUGGGCCCGCGGCCUAUCAGCUUGUUGGUGGGGUGANGGCCUACCAAGGCGACGACGGGUAGCCGGCCUGAGAGGGCGACCGGCCACACUGGGACUGAGACACGGCCCAGACUCCUACGGGAGGCAGCAGUGGGGAAUCUUGCGCAAUGGGCGAAAGCCUGACGCAGCGACGCCGCGUGAGGGAUGACGGCCU
This 387-nucleotide ribosomal RNA is filed under the name uncultured bacterium. Its description in RNAcentral is "bacterial SSU rRNA". It matches the Rfam family "Bacterial small subunit ribosomal RNA", at positions 29 to 417 of the family's 1533-position model. The record is from RNAcentral.